GUUUGAUCAUGGCUCAGAUUGAACGCUGGCGGCAUGCCUUACACAUGCAAGUCGAACGGUAACAGGUCUUCGGAUGCUGACGAGUGGCGAACGGGUGAGUAAUACAUCGGAACGUGCCCGAUCGUGGGGGAUAACGAAGCGAAAGCUUUGCUAAUACCGCAUACGAUCUACGGAUGAAAGCAGGGGACCGCAAGGCCUUGCGCGAACGGAGCGGCCGAUGGCAGAUUAGGUAGUUGGUGGGAUAAAAGCUUACCAAGCCGACGAUCUGUAGCUGGUCUGAGAGGACGACCAGCCACACUGGGACUGAGACACGGCCCAGACUCCUACGGGAGGCAGCAGUGGGGAAUAUU
Molecule: ribosomal RNA, 350 nt
Filed under: Aplanochytrium stocchinoi
Lineage: Eukaryota; Bigyra; Thraustochytrida; Thraustochytriidae
Description: partial Bacterial small subunit ribosomal RNA
Rfam family: Bacterial small subunit ribosomal RNA
Source: RNAcentral